UAUAAGUAAAAACUGCUUAUUUCAAAAAUAGGUACAAGUUUAGGUAUAAAUAAGCAGAAAAUAGACAAAUUUUGCAUUUGGAUGAAAAUUGGAUUGUUCCUAGGAAUAAGGUAAAUAGUGUUUGGAUAGUUAAAUUGGAACAAAGAAAAUAAGAGUUAUAAUUUUAAAUUAAAAUUAUUUUAUCUAAUUAAUUAACAUCAAAAUUUUACAUAAUAAUAAUAAAUUAAUAUUAAUAAUUAUAAAUAAUAAAUUAAAUAAAUAAAUAAUUAAUUAAUUAAUUAAUAAUAAAUAAUUAUAAAUUAUAGAUUAAUAAUAAAUUAUUACUAAUUAUCAAUUAUUAAUUAAUUAAUUAAUAAUAAAAUUAUUAGUUAAUUAUUAAUAAUUAUAAAGAAUAAUACGUUAAAUAAUAAAAUAUUAAAUAAUUAAUGGUAAUAAAUUAUUAAAAAUUAUAAAUAAUAAAUUAUUAUUAAUUAUAAAUGUAACACACUGAACUUUAGCAAAUUACAAGGUUCGAGUGUUUAAUUGGUGUUUUGAGCCUUUUUGGGUUUUCUGCAUGGUCGUUGACUAUAUUCCGACCUAUGACCCGCAUCCCAAGAAGCGAGGACGAGAAU
RNAcentral lists this long non-coding RNA (611 nucleotides) under Ananas comosus (pineapple). RNAcentral describes it as "long non-coding RNA (ACOM_LNC000760)". Lineage: Eukaryota; Viridiplantae; Streptophyta; Magnoliopsida; Poales; Bromeliaceae. The record is from RNAcentral.